UACGGAGGAUGCGAGCGUUAUCCGGAUUUAUUGGGUUUAAAGGGUGCGCAGGCGGAUUUUUAAGUCAGCGGUCAAAUCGUGGGGCUCAACCCCAUCCAGCCGUUGAAACUGGGGAUCUAGAGUGUGCGAGAGGUAUGCGGAAUGCGUGGUGUAGCGGUGAAAUGCAUAGAUAUCGAGAGGAACACUCGUGGCGAAGGCGGGUUCCUGGACAUUAACUGACGCUGAGGCACGAAGGCCAGGGGAGCGAAAGGG
RNAcentral lists this ribosomal RNA (252 nucleotides) under uncultured bacterium. RNAcentral's name for it is "partial 16S ribosomal RNA". It matches the Rfam family "Bacterial small subunit ribosomal RNA", at positions 524 to 776 of the family's 1533-position model. The record is from RNAcentral.